Long non-coding RNA from Phyllostomus hastatus (greater spear-nosed bat), 1212 nucleotides. RefSeq lists it as uncharacterized. The transcript has 4 exons. The record is from RefSeq and is a predicted model, not a curated record. NCBI's taxonomy places the organism in Eukaryota, Metazoa, Chordata, Mammalia, Chiroptera, Phyllostomidae.
GUUGCGGCGCCGUGCAGGGAGCAGCCUCCCCAGAGAAAUUGAGUGUAGCCCGGGAAUUGCGGCGGCGCCGGCAGGGGUACGCCUGGAUCCGGGGAAGCCCUCAGACUUGGGCUUGUAGCUUGGGAAGAAACCUUAAGAUCACCUGGCCCGAGAACCUCCUGCUACAGAGAAGGAAAAGAAGGCUCCGAGGGAAAUCUAGCGGCCAAAUAGGGGCUGGAACUGGGCUCGCUGUCCCACCACCGGGCUCCUUUCCCUUCACCAAGUUUUCAACCUGGAAGAGAGCUCUGGUUCUGCCUUUCCUCUGAAAAUAGCCCUCUUCCUUUUAGUGGAGAAUGAUAUUUAGAAACCAAGAUAUGCAGUAGCUUGACUAUCAUUUGGCUACCAACAUGGAUAACUUGUUUGAAGAAGAUGAGGAGUGUGAACCUCAAAAUAAUCAAGAUUUAUGUCCUCCUAUAGCACAACUGAAGAGGGAGACACCAUUUUGCCUCCAUGAUUUGACAAGCAUGAAGAUAAAAGCUUCACUGUGAGGAUGAUGGAGCAAAAUCAUAGAAGGGGGCCUAGAUUCCCUUCCUUCAGACUUAUUGUUAUGUGAGAAAAAUAAAAUUCUGUUAUAAGGUUAAACAACAAAGAUAGGUUUCUACUUCAUGUACCUAAAUAUAUCACAAUUCACACAAUAUACAUAAAAGUGGUAAAAGUAUUCAUUAUAUGAUAAAUUCAUGAUACCCAACACAAUCAAAUAGCAGAAAAAUUAUAGUUCUUUAAUUCAUUAUGAUUUUGAGUUGAUCUUUCACAGUCCUUUAGUUAUCAAACCAUUAAAUACAUUUGCACAUUCAAAUUUUGUGAAUAAUGUAGAUGAAUCCUAUUAAUUUCCAGUGUGUAUAUGAUUGUGUGUGUGUACAGACAUCUGUGUGUACAUAUACUUCAGGAGCCUAAAGGAAUGAUUGUUUCUUUCCUAGGACACUCAGUGGUAGUUACCUCAACUCUUCCUUAAAUUUCUCCAUCCAAGUUCCAUUUCCCAAGGGAAUAGAUCUUACUAUAUCCCAAUAAAAGUGAUUUAGUUAUUAUUUAUUUUGGCCAUCAUUGGAGGUUUGCAGCGUGAGUGUGUGUAUGUGUGAAUUCUGAGCCAUUUACUUUAUCUGUAUACCCACUUCAGAGUUUUUAUCAUAAAUGGAUGUUGAAUUUUGUCAAAUGCUUUUUCUGUAUCUACUAGGU